This 292-nucleotide ribosomal RNA is filed under the name uncultured bacterium. Its description in RNAcentral is "partial 16S ribosomal RNA". The record is from RNAcentral.
GGACUACUGGGGUUUCUAAUCCUGUUUGCUCCCCACGCCUUCGCGCCUGAGCGUCAGCCGUCGGCCAGGGCACUGCCUGCGCCAUUGGUGUUCUUCCGGAUCUCUACGCAUUUCACCGCUCCACCCGGAGUUCCAUGCCCCUCUCCGACGCUCAAGUCGCCCCGUCUGGAAGGACCUCUCCCGGUUAAGCCGAGAGCUUUCACCCCCCACGCGGGCGACCGCCUGCGCGCCCUUUACGCCCAGUAAUUCCGGACAACGCUCGUCUCCUACGUAUUACCGCGGCUGCUGGCAC